Non-coding RNA from Salmo salar (Atlantic salmon), 54 nucleotides. NCBI's taxonomy places the organism in Eukaryota, Metazoa, Chordata, Actinopteri, Salmoniformes, Salmonidae. The record is from Rfam.
GAAACACUUAACUGUCAGUCGCUCUGGAUAAGAGCGUCUGCUAAAUGACACAAA